This 253-nucleotide ribosomal RNA is filed under the name uncultured bacterium. RNAcentral describes it as "partial 16S ribosomal RNA". It matches the Rfam family "Bacterial small subunit ribosomal RNA", at positions 524 to 776 of the family's 1533-position model. The record is from RNAcentral.
UACAGAGGGGGCAAGCGUUGUUCGGAUUUACUGGGCGUAAAGGGCGCGUAGGCGGCGCGGUAAGUCACUUGUGAAAUCUCUGAGCUUAACUCAGAACGGCCAAGUGAUACUGCAGUGCUAGAGUGUGGAAGGGGCAAUCGGAAUUCUUGGUGUAGCGGUGAAAUGCGUAGAUAUCAAGAGGAACACCUGAGGUGAAGACGGGUUGCCGGGCCAACACUGACGCUGAGGCGCGAAAGCCAGGGGAGCAAACGGG